RNAcentral lists this ribosomal RNA (309 nucleotides) under uncultured bacterium. Its description in RNAcentral is "partial 16S ribosomal RNA". It matches the Rfam family "Bacterial small subunit ribosomal RNA", at positions 504 to 808 of the family's 1533-position model. The record is from RNAcentral.
AGAGACAGCAGCAGCCGCGGGAAAACGGAGGGUGCGAGCGUUAACCGGAAUAACUGGGCGUAAAGGGCACGCAGGCGGUGACUUAAGUGAGGUGUGAAAGCCCCGGGCUUAACCUGGGAAUUGCAUUUCAUACUGGGUCGCUAGAGUACUUUAGGGAGGGGUAGAAUUCCACGUGUAGCGGUGAAAUGCGUAGAGACGUGGAGGAAUACCGAAGGCGAAGGCAGCCCCUUGGGAAAGUACUGACGCUCAUGUGCGAAAGCGUGGGGAGCAAACAGGAUUAGAGACCCCCGUAGCCCUGUCUCUUAUACC